This 792-nucleotide ribosomal RNA is filed under the name Triticum aestivum (bread wheat). RNAcentral's name for it is "partial small subunit ribosomal RNA". Lineage: Eukaryota; Viridiplantae; Streptophyta; Magnoliopsida; Poales; Poaceae. The record is from RNAcentral.
AUGAAAGCGAAGGACCGAAAGCCAUUAUCACUUCUAUUUGACAUCACAAAAGGUUUCUCUGAUGAUCUGAAAAUCGGAAGUGGUGGUUUCGCGGUGAUUUAUAAGGGAAUUCUUGGCAAUGGAUUUGUUGCCGUGAAGAGGCUGAAUAAUUCGUAUAUGAUUGAGAAAGAAUUCCUCCAAGAAGUGAAAUGUCUGAUGAAGGUGAAGCACCAAAAUAUAGUAAGAUUUCUUGGAUACUGCACUGACACACAAGGGGUUGUGGAGACGUACAACGGGAAUUUUGUCAUGGCAGAUGUACAACAAAGAUUGUUCUGCUUUGAGUAUGUACCUAAUGGUAACCUUGGUGCUUAUAUCAGUGAGGCGUCUCAUGGACUUGAAUGGAGAAAGCGCUAUGAAAUUAUAAAGGGAAUCUGUGAGGGUAUAAAUUAUCUUCACCAGAAUAAUAUUGUUCACUCAGAUCUCAAUCCCGCGAAUAUACUACUAGAUGAUAAUAUGGUGCCAAAAAUCGCUGACUUUGGAGUCUCAAGGUGCUUUCGUGAUAGCCAAAGUGGCGAUAUUCUUACAAAAGUGGUUGGAACAAUGGGAUAUAUGGCACCAGAAUUUUUUAGCGGAAAAAUCAAGUUGAAAUCAGAUAUAUAUAGUCUUGGUGUUAUAAUCACGGAGAUAGUGGCAGGAAAGAGGCAUACCGAAGAAGACGAUAUAAUUAAAAUUUGGAGGAAUAGGUUGCAGAGAUCGAAAGAACACUCACAGUUGGAGCAAGUAAAAGUGUGCGCUAAGCUUGGGACAGUUUAA